RNAcentral lists this ribosomal RNA (1296 nucleotides) under Triticum aestivum (bread wheat). Its description in RNAcentral is "partial small subunit ribosomal RNA". Lineage: Eukaryota; Viridiplantae; Streptophyta; Magnoliopsida; Poales; Poaceae. The record is from RNAcentral.
AUGAAUAAAGGCAUCUUAUAUGAUUGGUCAAUGUGUUUGCAGGGAGAGUCUGUCUCUUGCUACUGCAGGGUAGAUGGAGGCCUUAAAACUGUCGUCAAUGCUAGAAAGUUUGUCCCUGGUGCUAGGCUGUGCAUGCAACCUGAUGUCAAACCGAACAAGCGCAAGUCAAGGAGCUCACGCAAGGAGAGGUGCCGAACUCAGGCGCCGCUUCUGCCUGGCCUUCCUGAUGACCUGGCUAUUUCAUGUCUGAUGCGGGUUUCUCGAGCUGAGCACCCUAAUCUUCACUUGGUCUGUAGAAAAUGGAGCCGACUUUUAUCUGGGAAUUAUUAUUACUCACUGCGGAAGAAAUGUGGCAUGGAAGAAGAAUGGGUUUACGUCUUCAAAAGGGAUCGUGAUCAGAAACUAUCUUGGCAUGCCUUUGAUCCAGUGCACCAGCUCUGGAGGUCACUUCCUCCAGUUCCACCAGAGUAUUCGGAAGCCGUGGGCUUUGGUUGCGCUGUUCUCAGUGGCUGCUAUUUGUACCUAUUUGGUGGCAAAAACCCAGUACGGGGGUCUAUGAGGCAUGUCGUGUAUUACAAUACUCGGACAAACAAGUGGUACCGGGCUCCAGAUAUGCUACGGAAGCGGCACUUGUUUGGCUCUUGUGUCAUAAACAACUGUCUCUAUGUUGCCGGUGGGGAGUGUGAAGGGACACAGAGAACUCUAAGAUCUGCUGAGGUUUACAAUCCGAACAGGACUAGAUGGUCUUGCAUCACUGAAAUGAACACAGGAAUGGUGCCGUUCACUGGAGUUGUAUAUGAUGGCAAAUGGUUCCUAAAGGGACUUGAUUCUCACCGCCAGGUUGUGAGCGAGGUCUAUCUGCCAACAUCCAACACGUGGUCGACCACUGGUAAUGCACUGGUUGCAGCCUUGCGGAAUCCAACCAUUUCCUUUAAUGGUCGUCUUUAUUCAGCGGAUUGUCGGGAUGCCUGCAAGCUAAGAGUUUAUGAUGGGGACAUAGGAUUGUGGACAAGAUUCAUGGACAGUAGACGCCAUCUGGGCAGCUCACGAGCUUUUGAAGCCGUGGCUUUGGUCUCACUGAAUGGAAAGAUCUGUGUUAUCCGUAAUAACAUGGGCAUGACCCUUGUUGAUGUCUGUGACCCAACAAAAGUUAUUGAGAUGGAGAGUGCCCGUGUGUGGGAGACUUUUGCCCGGAAGGGCCACCAGCACAGGUCUUUGAUGGCUAAUUUGUGGUCAGCAAUUGCAGGUCGUAAUUUGAAGGCCCACAUCAUACAUUGUCAAGUUCUCCAAGCUUGA